GGCGGCGGCGGCGCGGUGUGCGGACUCGCUGCAGUGAGGCUGGAGGAGGUGCUGGGCGGAGUUCCUGGGCGGACUCCUGACGCUUGCUGCAAGUCCUUUAACAACUGGAAGCUAACGGAGAGAACCUUCCUUUUAUGUGUGAAAACGAAGCCCACGUGAUGCCGUGACGGUUUCUUUCCGCCUUUCCUUAACCCCUCACCCCCACCCGCAAGCCCGACUCCCGCCCCUCGCUAAAUAAUUGCGUAAGAGCGGCCGGGGGCUGGAAGUUUUACCCACGCAGAUGAGAGAAUCAGAAACCCAGGAAGCUGCUCUCGGCUUCCCCGAGUAUCUAUUGCUUGGUGGUGGCCGCAGCAAAGUGGAGAAUAAAAAGUUUAAUGAAGCCAUCCAUACAUUCUUAGCAUUGAUGGAAAAGAACAGCAUAAAACUUGAAAUAAAACUACACCAGGUACCGCAAUUUGUAAAAGUCUUCAAGAAGAAAAGCGACUCACGUUUUUAUUUCGCCGUUUUGCUUAAUGUACAUAUUAUGUGAUUCUACAUGAGACACAAAUGACUAAAAUUCCAUUUCAUCCCGGAAGCUUUUCCUCUAGUCAUAUUUAAUCAUUCCAUUUUUGACACUCCCACUUACUGUACUGAGUCUUAUGUGAAAUAAGAGCAUAGAUUUUAAAAAAUUUUAAUCCAAUUUUUUUGUUUCAUUUUAAACGAGUAGGUUGUAUCUACUCAAAUUUUAAAUUGAUUUUUGGGACUACUAAUUCAAGCUUGGUGAGAUGCCAUGUAAGAAUCCAUUUUCCGACUCUGAUAGUGUACUAAAAUUUUACAUUGUAAUCCUGAGUUCAUUUUGAAGUUGAGUAUCAUCAUCCUCCUCCUCAUCAGAUCUUAUUCGUAUACCUACUAUGUAUGAAGUGUAUUCUGUUGUUUGCCAAGACUGAAUUCAAAAGCGAAGACAAAAGAGGGCAUGGAGAAUAAUCACAUUUUAGACUACUUGGAUCUUAAAGAAAUUCCAAUCUGUUUCAUAGUGGAAAUUCAAUAAAAAACAUCUGUUCUGCUUGGUUUGACUUGUAAAUUCUGUAGCCUGCUAGAGUGGAGAGAGUUCUAUGUACUUACGGAGUUAGAAAAAAUUUAAGGAGAAAAUGACACUUUGAGUCAUCUAGAAGGGAAGUCCAGUUUAGAAAGGAAGCCCAAGUAUGGGCAUGAGGAAGAGCUAUUGUGACAGGACUUAUUAAAUAAUUUUGACAAAUCCGAGACAAUAAAAUAGAAUGAUAGUACAUUUUGAGAUGCUGGUCAUUGGGGGUAGAUAUUAAAUGUCUCAAAGCAAAUCAAAAUGGCUAAACCUGUUUAUUUGGAAAAGUAUUAUGAUUAUUAUGUCAUGAUGUAUCACCAUAAAUAAUUUUUGAUUAUGUAAAAUUUAUAACUCGCUUUUGUAUAUCUUUAGUGUGCUGUGUGUAUUUUAGGUAAAUGUGUGCAUGUGCUGUAUAAAAUUUAUUAGUCUCUGAAAUUUGUCGGUAAAUUGACUGUUUGAAAGGAAAACAAGAAAACAUAUUAAAAACAUUCGAGUA
Molecule: long non-coding RNA, 1553 nt
Organism: Pteropus alecto (black flying fox)
Lineage: Eukaryota; Metazoa; Chordata; Mammalia; Chiroptera; Pteropodidae
Exons: 2
Source: RefSeq, a predicted model, not a curated record